UGACAAAGGGUAAAACCUUUAUAUUUUACUACAAAGUUAUUUAUUUCUACAUGGUAUUUAUUUUUUCAUGGGUGAAAUCAUUGUGAAUCAAAUGAUUCACAUAAUUUUAUGCAUUUCCUGCUAAUUUAUUUUGAGUUUUAAGAAAACAACCAAAACAAUUCCAAUGAAAAUUUUAGUAACGAUUGUUUAUUUUGAGGGUAUUUGUUCAUAACAUUAAAAAAAUAAAGGGCUCAUAAUAAAUAAAUAUAUUUUUGACACAAAUAUUACAUAGAGUAUGUUUACAACAAAUAUCCUGUCAGCCAAAUGGUUACCCGUAUAAAAUGUAACUUAGGUUUUGCUACUUGCAUGCUAACAUUGUUUCUAAAAUGUGAAAGAAAAGUUUAUAUAGCAUAUUCCACAGUCAGUUCAGAUCAAUUGUUGUCUGAUAAACCUGAUGGAAGUUUAAAUUUAAAGUUUCCAAGCAAACAUUCAGAAAG
This 476-nucleotide long non-coding RNA is filed under the name Pan troglodytes (chimpanzee). RNAcentral's name for it is "long non-coding RNA NONPTRT013051". Lineage: Eukaryota; Metazoa; Chordata; Mammalia; Primates; Hominidae. The record is from RNAcentral.